UCUUGCUUAAAUUGCCUUAAGUAUUUUUGUUAUAUUUUGAAAGAAAAUUUCGUAUUUGGUACUAUGAAAGAAAUGUCGUUCGAAAAAUUAUAUUUUUCAAAAAACUGCAAAGUUUAACGUCACGAUUAAAAACCUAAUUAGGUUUUGGACGAACGUGACAUAACCUCUCAAAAUGAACUAAUUUUGGCAACUAUCAGUGGUUUGGUUAUGUUUUAAUUUUUAUAGAAUACGUGUUAAUAGAUAUGUAAACAAGCCAAAAAGAUGAACUUGAUUCAUCGGCAGUUUAUUCAUGUCGUCAUAGUGUGAAACCUAAUGCAAAUUAAAAUGAAUUACAAAGAACAGUUUUUGCUAUUUUUAGUUUUUUAGUUCUUCAGGGUUUUUUUUGGAAAAAUUUUCUUUCAGUGUGUACCUGUUCUACUCCUCAACCGAAUAUCUGAAUCUAUCUAUCGCUAUAGUACCUAGGUCUGUUUGUGUCAGUAGAUGAUGGCAAAUUAGUCAAAACAGGGAAGGAGAGAGCCCUAAAGGCAUUUUUGCAAAGCUGAAGUAUAUCCUAGAUAUCAGACGGCUUUAAGCAAUGAAUCGGUUAUUGUUUUGUCCUUAUUGCGCGAAUAUGCUUCCAACAACAGCGAUGGGGCCGCAGUAUGUACCUGCAAUGGGGCCGCAGUAUGUACCUGCAAUGCCUAGGCGAUACAGGGGGCGGCGACCGUGACCACCAGCACAGCCGCAGCAGCAGCCACAGCUCACUUUCACUUCACUCACAUGUCACUUUACUUGAAUUUACCUAUUACCAGUAUCCACGCUUAGUGAAAUGAUCACUGUAGUGGAAAAAACUCAUUUUUUCAAAAAAAAACAACUCAAAUGUUCAUUAACACUUCCGAAUAUCAAUUAGUCGAACAAUCGUAUGAAUUGUGCAAGCAUUCCCCUUUUCACGGCUAGAAUUUGAAACGAUGCACCUGAACUAAAGUUCAGAUUAGUUACAUUAAACAUUCUGACACACAAUUAAAUAUUAUGAAAUAGACAGUAUA
This is a long non-coding RNA of Malaya genurostris, 1025 nucleotides long. RefSeq lists it as uncharacterized. Lineage: Eukaryota; Metazoa; Arthropoda; Insecta; Diptera; Culicidae. The transcript is spliced from 2 exons. The record is from RefSeq and is a predicted model, not a curated record.